Molecule: ribosomal RNA, 253 nt
Filed under: uncultured bacterium
Lineage: Bacteria
Description: partial 16S ribosomal RNA
Rfam family: Bacterial small subunit ribosomal RNA
Source: RNAcentral
AACGUAGGAGACGAACGUUAUCCGGAGUUACUGGGCGUAAAGGGCGUGUAGGCGGUUUGUUAAGUCUGGCGUGAAAGCUCUCGGCUAAACCGGGAGAGGUCGUUGGAUACUGGCGAACUAGAGGAUGGUAGAGGCGUGUGGAAUUCCGGGUGUAGUGGUGAAAUGCGUAGAGAUCCGGAGGAACACCAGUGGCGAAGGCGACACGCUGGCUCGCAUCUGACGCUCAGACACGACAGCAUGGGGAGCGAACGGG